GGCGUGCUUACACAUGCAGUCGAACGGAAAGGCCCUGCUUGCAGGGUACUCGAGUGGCGAACGGGUGAGUAACACGUGGGUGAUCUGCCCUGCACUUCGGGAUAAGCCUGGGAAACUGGGUCUAAUACCGGAUAGGAGCCAUUUUUAGUGUGAUGGUUGGAAAGUUUUUUCGGUGUAGGAUGAGCUCGCGGCCUAUCAGCUUGUUGGUGGGGUAAUGGCCUACCAAGGCGGCGACGGGUAGCCGGCCUGAGAGGGUGGACGGCCACAUUGGGACUGAGAUACGGCCCAGACUCCUACGGGAGGCAGCAGUGGGGAAUAUUGCACAAUGGGCGCAAGCCUGAUGCAGCGACGCCGCGUGGGGGAUGACGGCCUUCGGGUUGUAAACUCCUUUCGCUAGGGACGAAGCUUUUUGUGACGGUACCUAGAUAAGAAGCACCGGCUAACUACGUGCCAGCAGCCGCGGUAAU
Molecule: ribosomal RNA, 467 nt
Filed under: uncultured bacterium
Lineage: Bacteria
Description: bacterial SSU rRNA
Rfam family: Bacterial small subunit ribosomal RNA
Source: RNAcentral